GCAAGAGUCCUUGUCCUUACAAUAGUCACUGGAGGACCGAGUUCAAGGGAAAUGUCUUUUGUUGGAGUGUUUGAUGCACAAGAAUUCAGAAAUCCCCAGCAGUCCAGUCUGCAGUUACACUUGAACCAGGUCAACUCAGCCUUCUCUCUGUCAAGACUUCCUCCAUGUUUCUGGGGCGGGGGAAGAUGUGGCACUGGACAGUGGAGAAGUGAACUACAGCACAGGAAGGAAGCUUCAAGUGCUCAGACAGCGGGUACCACUUCUUCAGUCUCAUCCCCUCCAUGUCCCUGCUCCAUGACCAGUUCCAAGCCGUGUCAUCUCCUCCAUGUCCUGUGCUCCAUGGCCAGUUCCCAGCCGUGUCAUCUCCUCCAUGUCCCAUGACCAAUUCCCAGCCAUGUCAUUUCCUGCAUGCUCCAUGGCCAGUUCCCAACCAUGGGAGGCCUUGACAAUCCUUGGGAGAGUCUUGUAUUUCCAUGUUCACAAGAACUUUGCUGUGUUGCCCCCCUGUAGAAAAUAUGUCACCAUAUCUCUCCUGCCCAGUCUAGCCCAAAUCACUUUCAAAGCAUUGUUCAAACAUUAUGUCUCUUCUUACCACCUAUCAGCAAAUAUUCAGUAAAUCUUAGCAAUCGC
Molecule: long non-coding RNA, 630 nt
Organism: Mesocricetus auratus (golden hamster)
Lineage: Eukaryota; Metazoa; Chordata; Mammalia; Rodentia; Cricetidae
Exons: 3
Source: RefSeq, a predicted model, not a curated record